UUGCAUAUCAAAAAAGCGGAGGAAAAGAAACUAACAAGGAUUCCCCUAGUAACGGCGAGUGAAGAGGGAAAAGCCCAAAUUUGUAAUCUGGCUCUUUUAUAAGGGUCCGAGUUGUAAUUUUGAGAACUGUUUUCUGUGCUGGACCAUGUACAAGUCUGUUGAAAAACAGCAUCAUUGAGGGUGAUAAUCCCGUACGUGAUAUGGACUACCAGGGCAAUAUGAUACAGUCUCUAAGAGUCGAGUUGUUUGGGAAUGCAGCUCAAAGUGGGUGGUAAAUUCCAUCUAAGGCUAAAUAUAGGUGAGAGACCGAUAGCAAACAAGUACCGUGAGGGAAAGAUGAAAAGAACUUUGGAAAGAGAGUUAACAGUACGUGAAAUUGUUAAAAGGGAAACAUUUGAAGUUAGACUUGUUAUUGUUGGUUCAGCUUCUUUAUUGAGGUGUAUUCUGAUGAUUAACAGACCAGCAUCAAUUUUUGGGUGUUGGAUAAGGGUUUUGGGAAUGUGGCAGCUUCGGUUGUGUUAUAGACCAUUACUUUGAUACAAUGCUUAGGAUUGAGGAACGCAGUAAGCUUUGUUGCAGAUUUUUUCGGAAGUCUCCUUACUACGGAUGUUGGUGCAAUAGCUUUAAAUGACCCGUCUUGACCC
Molecule: ribosomal RNA, 644 nt
Filed under: Thekopsora sp. 3 JJ-2018
Lineage: Eukaryota; Fungi; Basidiomycota; Pucciniomycetes; Pucciniales; Coleosporiaceae
Description: partial 28S ribosomal RNA
Rfam family: Eukaryotic large subunit ribosomal RNA
Source: RNAcentral